GUACUGAGGAGACAGUGGUGACCCCAGCCUACAAACUGCAAUUACUCUAGCUCAGGCUCCUCCUCAAAUGAGUUUGUCAAAUCAUGGUUGGAACAAUAUAAACAAAGUAGAACAAACUAGAUCAGUCUCUGCCCAGCAUAGGCAAAACACAGAGUUUGUUACAUCACUGUCUGGUUAGUGAAUGCGUGGUACUGGAGUAUGUUUCAGACUGUAGAGUAUGUUUCAGACUGGAGUAUGUUUCAGACUGGAGUAUGUUUCAGACUGGAAUAUGUUUCAGACUGCCGAGUAUGUUUAAGACUGGAGUAUGUUUCAGACUGAAAUAUGUUUCAGACUGCUGAGUAUAUUUCAGACUGAAGUAUGUUUCAGACUGCUGAGUAUAUUUCAGACUGAAGUAUGUUUCAGACUGGAGUAUGUUUCAGACUGAAGUAUGUUUCAGACUGGAGUAUGUUUCAGACUGGAGUAUGUUUCAGACUGAAGUAUGCUUCAGACUGGAGUAUGUUUCAGACUGGAGUAUGUUUCAGAUUGGAGUAUGUUUCAGACUGAAGUAUGUUUCAGAUUUGAGUAUGUUUCAGACUGGAGUAUGUUUCAGACUGGAGUAUGUUUCAGACUGAAGUAUGUUUCAGACUGAAGUAAGUUUCAGACUGGAGUAUGUUUCAGACUGGAGUAUGUUUCAAACUGGAAUAUGUUUCAGACUAAAAUAAGUUUCAGACUGAAGUAAGUUUCAGAAUUGAAUAUGUUACAUUUUAUAAACAGAAGUCGAGUUAAUUCAAUGAUAUAUUCUUUGGAGAAAAAGAAAAACUUCAGCGGUAGACAUUAAAUAAAAAAUGAAAAAUGACUUUUUUGAUAAAUUGUAUGCCUUAAACGGACCCUGGAAACACAAAUACUUUUUUUUUAACCACUGGAAUUAAAUUUUUAGUAAAAUUCUCUUUCCUUUAAGAACUAAAAAUAUACAAGAUUUCAUUAAAAUUUCAUAGCUUUUAUUUUUUUUUGUCUUCAACUGCUACAAACACAAUUUCAUAUAGCUAACAAAUAUAUGUAAAAACGUGAAACCCAGCACAUAGGUUCAGCCUGCUUAUAAAUUUUUAAGGCAGGGUCGACUUUGAAGUGUCGCCCGCUUUGAUUUUACCGCUCUAACUCUCUUUUGAUUUUCUGUAGCCCUGUACAUGUACAUUUUAGCUCUAUAGAGCACUUGUUGUUAGUGUUGUUUUUAACUUCAUUUUUGCAUGAGAGCUUGAGACCUAAAAAUCUCAGUGCCAACGUUUAAGAGCAAAAAAUUUCACCUGAAGAAUAUGGAUUUAGAGGUUGAAAUUGAAAAUAAUAGCAUUUCUCAUUCUGAACUACGUCGUAUAGUCUUGACUUGAUCUCAACUUCUCGUUCAUUCGCUACCGCUGAGUUUGUCUUUCCAAAUUACUGUCCACUGUUUUACUCUUUUACAUUACUGAAUAUCGACUUCUUACUCUGUAAACAGGCUGUUUGGUGCUUUAUAAGAAGUCAGAAACACCUUAAAACUGUAUAAUAAUAAUAAUAAAAGUAAUAUUAAUAAUAAUAAUAAUGAGCUCGUGUAAAAUGCAUUUAAACACGAACUGAAAAUGUGUUCAAAGUGCACUUUGAAAAAUUCGUUUCUUACGCAUUUGAACAUAAAUACAAAGACGUGUCAAUUGUGUCUCUUAUAUACUUAUUCAUUUAUGUAUUAUGAUUAUGAAUUAUGCCAGAUGUCCCAAAAAAAAACUUUUUUGUCCCAGAGAUAUUAAAAAUGUUAACAAUUUUGAUUUUAUUCAACUAACUGGAAUAUCUCCAGGUAAACUUUUUCAUAAAACUAUUUUAUAUGGGUCGCUUAAAAAUAACUCAUAUAAUAAUGCCCUGUGAAUAAAAGCCGGUGGAAAAGGUUGUAUCUAAUCUUAAGAGUAAAAUAUCCAGAUUGUUUGAAAAAUUGCGUCAAUUUAUAAGCAUUGAAAUGGAUAUUUUAAAAAUACAGAGCACUUGUUUUGAUUUCUAUUUUCUAAGAAGUAAUUGUCAAAAUUCUCAUAG
Molecule: long non-coding RNA, 2028 nt
Organism: Eurytemora carolleeae
Lineage: Eukaryota; Metazoa; Arthropoda; Copepoda; Calanoida; Temoridae
Exons: 3
Source: RefSeq, a predicted model, not a curated record